This 195-nucleotide ribozyme is filed under the name Anopheles gambiae (African malaria mosquito). RNAcentral describes it as "drz-agam-2-2 ribozyme". It matches the Rfam family "drz-agam-2-2 ribozyme". The record is from Rfam by way of RNAcentral. Lineage: Eukaryota; Metazoa; Arthropoda; Insecta; Diptera; Culicidae.
ACGAAGUUCCUAGUUAUUCAUGCAAUUGGAUCCGAAGCCCUCUGAGGGUUAAUAUAGGCUCUUCGAUCCAACUUCUAUUUCGACACAUCCUCGUUGUCCAGAGUGGUAACAUGUGCCAGCACAUAUUCAAACUUGGGUACACGGGCUAGAUCCAAUCCCUUGGGCGGAUGGUGGCAUAUGGCGAACCAGACGGAG